AUACAUACAGGAUCUAGAAUACAACUGUCCUCUUCUUCCCCAGGUGUACCUGCUUGUUCUCAGUGUCACCACUCUGUCCUCUUCUUCCCCAGGUGUACCUGCUGGUUCUCAGUGUCACCACUCUGUCCUCUUCUUCCCCAAGUGUACCUGCUGGUUCUCAGUGUCACCACUCUGUCCUCUUCUUCCCCAGGUGUACCUGCUGGUUCUCAGUGUCACCACUCUGUCCUCUUCUUCCCCAGGUGUACCUGCUGGUUCUCAGUGUCACCUCUCUGUCCUCUUCUUCCCCAGGUGUACCUGCUGGUUCUGUGUCACCACUCUGUCCUCUUCUUCCCCAGGUGUACCUGCUUGUUCUCAGUGUCACCACUCUGUCCUCUUCUUCCCCAGGUGUACCUGCUGGUUCUCAGUGUCACCACUCUGUCCUCUUCUUCCCCAGGUGUACCUGCUGGUUCUCAGUUUCACCACUCUGUCCUCUUCUUCCCCAGGUGUACCUGCUGGUUCUCAGUGUCACCACUCUGUCCUCUUCUUCCCCAGGUGUACCUGCUGGUUCUCAGUGUCACCACUCUGUCCUCUUCUUCCCCAGGUGUACCUGCUGGUUCUCAGUGUCACCACUCUGUCCUCUUCUUCCCCAGGUGUACCUGCUGGUUCUCAGUGUCACCACUCUGUCCUCUUCUUCCCCAGGUGUACCUGCUGGUUCUCAGUGUCACCACUCUGUCCUCUUCUUCCCCAGGUGUACCUGCUGGUUCUCAGUGUCACCACUCUGAGUCUUCUGCUGGCUCCGGUGUUGUGGAGAGCUGCCACACACAAGUGGGUCCCUCGAGCCGAACGCAAGACGCUCGCCCGCCCGCCCCCACUGCUGCCACACCCAGCAGACUGAAGCCCAUAGGGGCCCUGCAAAAGGGCCGAAGGGUCAAAGGUCAUUCUCCCUCUUUCCAUGGAGAAAAUCCUAAUGACCCAUUAUCUUUGGAUCAUUGGUUGCAUCCAAAACGGCACCCUGUUCCCUACAUAGAGCCCUGA
Molecule: long non-coding RNA, 1014 nt
Filed under: Oncorhynchus kisutch (coho salmon)
Lineage: Eukaryota; Metazoa; Chordata; Actinopteri; Salmoniformes; Salmonidae
Description: lncRNA (ENSOKIG00005046490.1)
Source: RNAcentral